Molecule: ribosomal RNA, 447 nt
Filed under: uncultured bacterium
Lineage: Bacteria
Description: bacterial SSU rRNA
Rfam family: Bacterial small subunit ribosomal RNA
Source: RNAcentral
GUCGAGGAUCUUCGGCAAUGGGCGAAAGCCUGACCGAGCGACACCGCGUACAGGAUGAAGGCCUUCGGGUUGUAAACUGUUGUCACGCUAUAGGAACUCCUUGGUGUUAACAGCGCCAAGGUUGACUAAAGCGAGAGGAAGCAACGGCUAACUCUGUGCCAGCAGCCGCGGUAAGACAGAGGUUGCAAACGUUGUUCGGAAUCACUGGGCAUAAAGCGCACGUAGGCGGCCCGUUAAGUCAGUUGUGAAAGCCCCCGGCUCAACCGGGGAACAGCAUCUGAUACUGGCGGGCUCGAGGAUGGUAGGGGUGAGUGGAACUCCAGGUGGAGCGGUGAAAUGCGUAGAUAUCUGGAGGAACACCGGUGGCGAAAGCGGCUCACUGGACCAUCCCUGACGCUGAGGUGCGAAAGCUAGGGUAGCAAACGGGAUUAGAUACCCCUGUAGUCC